This 1193-nucleotide long non-coding RNA is filed under the name Carica papaya (papaya). RNAcentral's name for it is "long non-coding RNA (CPAP_LNC004533)". Lineage: Eukaryota; Viridiplantae; Streptophyta; Magnoliopsida; Brassicales; Caricaceae. The record is from RNAcentral.
UAAAAAUAUUGAUUAUGCCUCAAUUAUCAAAAAAUAUUUUGUAAUCUCUAUUUAAUUUAGUAAUUUUGUUGCCAUCCUCAAUGGUUUUGAUGGUUCCUCCACUUUAAAAGAGGGCAUCGAGCUACAGGGCGAAGAGGAGGAAGAAAAUUCGUAGCUAAGGUAAACCGAGAGGGAGUUUUUGUGUGAUUUGUUCAAUCAGAUUAAUCAGUUAGCAGUGGAAUCGGGAGCAGAACAAGGGAGGAAUCCAUCAAUCAGAUUAACACCAUCACUAAGAACAAAGGUAAGUGAAAUUUGACUCUCACCACUUGAGUAGAAUUUAUCUUCUAAAUUCUUUGAGAUAUUUUUCGGAAGAAAUAAGUUGAUUUGGUAAUAGGGACAUUUUCUUGAAGUUGGAUUAGAACUAGGAGUAAAAAUAGAAAAAAUGGAGAGUGAGAUAUGAGGAUAAAUAGAAGAUCGAACAAAAUGAUGGAAUUAUCGUGUGGAUAGCUAUGAGGAGAGGACAGAGGAGACAUGCUAGAAACAUAGGAGGAAAAUUAAAAGGAUGGGAAUGGGAGAGGGAAAUAGUGGUCUGCAUUUGAUGUCUAUUUGGGAAUUAUUAUUAUGUUAUUUUUUGUAUUUAAUUCUCUUGAUGUCUAUUUGGGAAAUGGUGCCAUUGGUGAGUAGAGGUAGGGAAACAAACUUGAAAGGGAUUAAAAACAAAAUAAACAUAAAAUUCUAGGAGGCAAAUCUAGGUGAGUAGAGACAGUGUUCUCUGUGAGGGUGAAAGUGAUGUUGUUUGGAAAUAGGAAUGGGAAUAGCAAUGGAACAAAAAAACUAUGGGAGCCAAUCUUGGUGAGCAGAGAUAGUGUUCUCUGUGAUGCACGUGUAGGAAAGAAUGAAUUACACAAACUUUAAUUAGAUGUUUUCUUCAUUUUAGAUAGAUGUAAUGGUUAACCCUCACGGCAAGGGAUGUGAACACUGCUCUUAGAUGUACUUAUUUUUUAUUUGGAGAUAGAAGGUUAUGUAUUUUUCACACUGGGAAUAUAAGUUCUUACGGUACCAUGACUCCCUAUGUAGGUACGGGUUGUUACAGCUCUUAUCCAAUCAUUUUGAAUAGGAGGAUCAAAGCACAUCGCUCCUCCAUAUGAUCCACUCGAUGGAACAAGAGGUUUAGUGCUUAACAUCUGAACUAUUUUUCUCUUAUUUGUUUACCG